This is a long non-coding RNA of Callorhinus ursinus (northern fur seal), 446 nucleotides long. RefSeq lists it as uncharacterized. NCBI's taxonomy places the organism in Eukaryota, Metazoa, Chordata, Mammalia, Carnivora, Otariidae. The record is from RefSeq and is a predicted model, not a curated record.
GGGGCAUCAUGGGCACCCCCAAGUUUAUAAUUGGCUGGGCAGAAACAUGGGUAGCUUGGAGACACCCCAUUUGUAGCUGGUGUCUGAAGUGGGGUCAGUCAUGUGGGACUGAGCCUUUGCCCUGUGUGGUCUGGGCUAACUCUGGGCAGUUAGUGUCAGAACCGAAUUGAAUUGUUCAACACCCAGUUGAUGUUGAAGAGCUGGAGAAUUGAUUGGUGUUGGAAUGACCUAUUUAUCAUUGGAAAAGACACCACACAGUUGGUGUCAGAAAAAGGCCCACACACCUAUUCAUACUGAUGUCUUCAAUGUAGGUAUUGAUUUCUGCCUUAACUGACCUCUAUCAUCUGUAGAUCACCAAAAAAGACCCCAUGGAUAUUGGAACCACUUUUACUCUGUGCAUACAUGUUAGAAGAGAGAGCAUCAUUACCUCAGGACAUAGACAAAGG